RNAcentral lists this RNase P RNA (397 nucleotides) under Rhodospirillaceae bacterium. RNAcentral describes it as "RNase P RNA component class A". It matches the Rfam family "Bacterial RNase P class A". Rfam says of the family: Ribonuclease P (RNase P) is a ubiquitous endoribonuclease, found in archaea, bacteria and eukarya as well as chloroplasts and mitochondria. Its best characterised activity is the generation of mature 5'-ends of tRNAs by cleaving the 5'-leader elements of precursor-tRNAs. The record is from RNAcentral. Lineage: Bacteria; Pseudomonadati; Pseudomonadota; Alphaproteobacteria; Rhodospirillales; Rhodospirillaceae.
CCAGAUGGCUGGAUGACCGCGCUUCGCAAGAAGCGAGGAAAGUCCGGGCUCCACGGAAGCAAGGUGCCGGAUAACGUCCGGCGGGGGCGACCCCAGGGAAAGUGCCACAGAAAACAAACCGCCGGCCCACCUGUAAAAGGGGGGUGCCGGUAAGGGUGAAAAGGUGCGGUAAGAGCGCACCGCGCGGCUGGUGACAGCGGCGGCAGGGUAAACCCCACCUGGAGCAAGACCAAAUAGGGACGGCCGGUCGGGCAGCUUGCUGCGCCGACAAGCGGGUUUCCGCGCUGUCGUCCGGGUCGGUCGCGACGAGGUGCGCAGCAAUGCGCAUCCCAGAGGAAUGGUCAUCCAAUGGGCUUCAGCCCAGGGACAGAACCCGGCUUACAGGCCAUCUGGCGCA